Non-coding RNA from Yokenella regensburgei ATCC 43003, 136 nucleotides. The record is from Rfam. Lineage: Bacteria; Pseudomonadati; Pseudomonadota; Gammaproteobacteria; Enterobacterales; Enterobacteriaceae.
UAUAGCGAAUUUAUAUUUUAUUAGUUUUUUAUGCUACUAGUGACUCGAAGGGAGUAUCCCUGCUUUACUCAAGGGGAUUAUUGUUCGGUAUCAAGAUGAGAAUAAAAAAAGCGCCCUCAGGCGCUUUUUUGAACCG